AGUGAACGCUGGCGGUAGGCCUAACACAUGCAAGUCGAACGGCAGCACAGUAAGAGCUUGCUCUUACGGGUGGCGAGUGGCGGACGGGUGAGGAAUACAUCGGAAUCUACUUUUUCGUGGGGGAUAACGUAGGGAAACUUACGCUAAUACCGCAUACGACCUACGGGUGAAAGCAGGGGAUCUUCGGACCUUGCGCGAUUGAAUGAGCCGAUGUCGGAUUAGCUAGUUGGCGGGGUAAAGGCCCACCAAGGCGACGAUCCGUAGCUGGUCUGAGAGGAUGAUCAGCCACACUAGAACUGAGACACGGUCCAGACUCCUACGGGAGGCAGCAGUGGGGAAUAUUGGACAAUGGGCGCAAGCCUGAUCCAGCCAUACCGCGUGGGUGAAGAAGGCCUUCGGGUUGUAAAGCCCUUUUGUUGGGAAAGAAAAGCAGCAGGUUAAUACCCAGCUGUUCUGACGGUACCCAAAGAAUAAGCACCGGCUAACUUCGUG
RNAcentral lists this ribosomal RNA (492 nucleotides) under uncultured bacterium. RNAcentral's name for it is "partial 16S ribosomal RNA". It matches the Rfam family "Bacterial small subunit ribosomal RNA", at positions 29 to 507 of the family's 1533-position model. The record is from RNAcentral.